GCAAAACGCGAAGAACCUUACCAGGUCUUGACAUCCCGCUGCCCGCUCUAGAGAUAGAGUUUUCCCUUCGGGGACAGCGGUGACAGGUGGUGCAUGGUUGUCGUCAGCUCGUGUCGUGAGAUGUUGGGUUAAGUCCCGCAACGAGCGCAACCCUUGAUCUUAGUUGCCAGCAUUCAGUUGGGCACUCUAAGGUGACUGCCGGUGAUAAACCGGAGGAAGGUGGGGAUGACGUCAAAUCAUCAUGCCCCUUAUGACCUGGGCUACACACGUGCUACAAUGGACGGUACAGAGGGUCGCAACCCCGCGGGGGUGAGCAAAUCCCAUAAAACCGUUCUCAGUUCGGAUUGUAGGCUGCAACUCGCCUACAUGAAGCCGGAAUCGCUAGUAAUCGUGGAUCAGCAUGCCACGGUGAAUACGUUCCCGGGUCUUGUACACACCG
RNAcentral lists this ribosomal RNA (439 nucleotides) under uncultured bacterium. RNAcentral describes it as "bacterial SSU rRNA". It matches the Rfam family "Bacterial small subunit ribosomal RNA", at positions 954 to 1392 of the family's 1533-position model. The record is from RNAcentral.